Molecule: signal recognition particle RNA, 139 nt
Filed under: Punica granatum (pomegranate)
Lineage: Eukaryota; Viridiplantae; Streptophyta; Magnoliopsida; Myrtales; Lythraceae
Description: Plant signal recognition particle RNA
Rfam family: Plant signal recognition particle RNA
Source: Rfam by way of RNAcentral
UGCCCGUUCCAAGCCGAGAGCGGGCCAUGUGAACCGAACGAAGGCCUGGGUGGUGCAGCCCCUAAAGAGGAGGGGACUGCGUGAGGUUGGCUUCACAGAGCUGCGAAAACCUCCUGCUCCCGAUAGUGGAAGGAUAACG